RNAcentral lists this ribosomal RNA (2441 nucleotides) under Lactuca sativa (garden lettuce). RNAcentral describes it as "bacterial LSU rRNA". The stretch from base 1593 to 2430 matches the Rfam family "Bacterial large subunit ribosomal RNA", at positions 2049 to 2912 of the family's 2925-position model. The record is from RNAcentral. Lineage: Eukaryota; Viridiplantae; Streptophyta; Magnoliopsida; Asterales; Asteraceae.
ACAAUAACAAAUAAAGCACAUACUGGGCCUUGCCCACUGCAUCAGACCGAAGUCUGGAACUAGCUGCAUCGGACCGAAGUCCGGAACUGACUGCAUCGGACCGAAGUCCGGAACUGACUGGGACCUUGUCCCCUGCAUCGGACCGGAGUCCGGAACUAGCUGCAUCGGACCGAAAUUCAGAACUGUCUGAACAUAGCAUUACAUAAACACGUAUCUGCUAACAUAACACAUAUACUACAUCGAACUGAUGUCCGGAACACAUAACACAAAACAUGCUUGAAUCACAAAGACAUCAAGCACUCUAAAUACUACAUUGGACUGAAGUCCGGAACUACUGCUAACUAAACGGGCCGGCACUGUGGCCGUAGACCCGUUCCUACUGGAAGGAAACUCACCUCGUGAACUGGCUGCUGAUUGUAUGGCUCUGGAAGCUAUCUGUUGCUGCUCCGGUAUCUCCCCGGCUACAAUUCCAUAAACACACUCAAUCAAAUACUAAUAACUAAAUUGGGGUAAAUGACUCUUUUACCCCUGGUCAAAGUCAACUCUCCCGGUCAAAGUCAACCUACAGUUGACCUGACUCGCCGAGUUGGGCCGCCAACUCGCCGAGUCUCUAUUCUCACUUCUCAACCCUACUCGCAGCUACUCGUCGAGUAUGGCAUCAACUCGACGAGUUCCCUUUCGAUUCUAGAACUCAGGCUAUCUGCAUCCGACUCGCCGAGUCGUAUGAACAACUCGACGAGUUGUUCUUGAACUAAGAAGAUUGCCUUGGACUCGCCGAGUUGUAUGAACAACUCGUCGAGUCCCUCCAUUACUGAGUCUGACUCCAACUCACUGAGUCCACUCUACUACUAACUGGUCCCCACUCGGCAUCACUCAAAAGGGGAAAAAUCGGGGACUCGCGACUCAACUCGCCGAGUCGUUCUUCCGACUCGCCGAGUCGCAUGCAUGCAGCUACUCUAAACUCGAUUCUGCUUGAAUCUAGCGCAUAAAACUUAUAGAUCUGGGCUCCCUAAGCUCGAUUAACACGUAAAGGUUCUAUCUUUACGUGCCCAUAUGCACCCAUGAAGAUUAAGAGGCUCAAAAAGCAUAAUAAAGGCUAGAUCUAGGGUUCUCAAGCAAAGAAACUUCGAAAAGGCACUAGAUCAGGGCUCUAACACUCCUAAAUGAACAUAUCUAGGGAUAUCUCGACCCAACAAGGCAUCCAUACAACUAUAAAGCUUGGAAAAUACAUUAAACUAGCCUUAGAGGUGUUUUAAUGGAGGUUUUAAGCACAAAACAUGAUAAUUCCGAGACAUACCUCAAUGAACUCUGACUUUGGCCUUGGAUCUUUGCUCUACACUUCCUCUUUUUGGUCCUUUCUUCUUUUUCUUCUUCAAUCCUUCAAGAAUCCACACAAAAACACUUUAAUCAUACAAGGAAUGGUUUAGGGUUUCUCACAAGCUCUCUGAGGGUGAAGGAGGCGAGUUUGGGGCACAUAACAUUGCUUAAAUAGUGAGCAAACCCGGGGAUUUAGGGUUUCUUCCUGUAGGCGGACUCGCCGAGUCCCGAAUAUGGACUCGCCGAGUUGCCGACUUACACGUGCUCGAAAUCCCGUCUCUACUUGACGAGUCGGGCUAUAGACUCGCCGAGUCCCUCUUGAAAACUUCUAAAUAAAUAACAUGGAAACAACAUACCAGAGACGGGUCGUUACAGACAAUCUUAUGUAGGCCUCCCAAAAGGUAAAGGAGGCAUGCAAAGGUUUCCUCGGGCCGGACGGAGAUUGGCCCUCGAGUGCAAAAGCAGAAGGUAGCUUGACUGCAAGACCCACCCAUUGAGCAGGGACGGAAUUCGUCCUUAGUGAUCCGAUGGUGCCGAGUGGAAGGGUCGUCACUCAACGGAUAAAAGUUACUCUAGGGAUAAUAGGCUGAUCUUCCCCAAGAGCUCACAUCAACGGGAAGGUUUGGCACCUCGAUGUCGACUCUUCGCCACCUGGGGCUAUAGUAUGUUCCAAGGGUUGGGCUGUUCGCCCAUUAAAGCGGUACAUGAGCUGGGUUCAAAACGUCGUGAGACAAUUCGGUCCAUAUCCGAUGUGGGCGUUAGAUCAUUGAGAGGACCUUUCCUUAGUACUAGAGGACCGGGAAGGACGCACCUCUUGUGUACCAAUUAUCGUGCCCACGGUAAACGCUGGGUAACCAAGUGCGGAGUGGAUAACGGCUGAAAGCAUCUAAGUAGUAAUCCUACCCCAAGAUGAGUGCUCUCAUAUUCCGACUUCCCCUGAGCUUCCGGUAGCACAGCCGAGACAACGACGGGUUCUCUGCCCCCGCGGGGAUGGAGCGACAGAAGUUUUGAGAAUUCAAGAAAAGGUCACAGCGAGACGAGCCGUUUAUCAUUACGAUAGGUGUCAAGUGGAAGUGCAGUGAUGUAUGCAGCUGAGGCAUCCUAACAGACCGGUAGACUUGAAC